GCCCAUUCAUCAUUUCACCUGUGGGGAAUACAAUACAAUGGUGUCUUCCCUGAACAGUGUUAGUGACGUUGCACGUUUGAACGAUGUCACCGUCCACGUGAAUUUUGUACCUAGGCAAUUUGUCUGACAAUGUGAUAGAUUGAGUUUGCGUUUGCAAAACUUGCCGUCCCUGAUGGAGAGAAAAGGCUGCCAGUAUGUAUCGAUACAACCUGCAAGCAUAAAACUGAGGAUAAACGUGGAGCAAUGUCGUCAACUGAGGCACCACAUGAAUCCUGGGAGGGAGAGCAGGUUACGGAGCAGGAACAUCCCGUGAGCUCCUCCGUGUGUUUACUGCAGGAGACGGUGUACCACAGGUUCGUCACUUUUCCGUCUGUGAGCCAGUGAGGACCCGGCUCUUCUGAAUCUUCCAGUGCUGCAGGCUUGCGGUGGCGAGGUUGCCGCAAGCCCGUUACUGGCAGGGAAUGCUGAGAAAUUAGUAACCUAGAUAAAAUAAAAACUAAUAAUAAAAAAUGGUGAAGGCGUCUGCUGAUUUCAGUGCGUGCCUGGGAAUUCUGGGAUGGCUGGGAGUUCUUGAACACUGACGGCAGGACGUGCCAGACCCAGACUGGCCGCCGUGCUUUCUGGUCUCUCAGAUUUUUUUGAAGGCUGGAUGAGGAGAUAGAUUCAGUAUCUGGAGCAGAAGCACACACGCACACACACACACUGACACACACAUACGCACACGCACAAAACACAAACACAGACACACACACAGCCACAGGCACAAACUCACAAAUGCAAAUACACACACACACACACACACACACACACAGACAGAAGGACACAAACACACACACACAGGCACAAAUACAGACACAGACACACACACAGCCACAGGCACAAACACACAGAUGCAACUACACACACACACACACAGACACACACACACACGCACACAGAUGCAAACAUACACACAGACACACACACACACACACACACACACAGGGAGGAGAAUGAGAGGGUGAGGCAUGCACCACGGAUUUUAAAACAAAAGCAGACGAUGCUAUGUUUCUGAGGACAUUGAGCUCAACUGGGGAACGCCUUACAUUGCCGCCACCAGCAGGGAUUUUUAACAAUUAGCGACUGUGCAAGUGAGAGAGAGGCCUGGCACUGCAAUGCAAACUUUGUCAAAGUCUGUCAAGAACCCCUCUCUGUGGUUUUUCCACUUUUGUUUUCACAUUGACUUGCCGUCAUUGACUUCCUCCGCCAACAACAAGAAGAAAAAAAAAACGUUAAAUAUAAAUCUGAGUCAUAACUGUGAUUUUUCAGAAUUUCCUGCAGGAGAGACUGUGAUGUGAUUUUUCAGAACCUGGCAUUGUUGUUAUGUUUCAUGUCCGAGUGCUUUCUGGGUGACGUCAAACAGCCGGCCACUAGACCACCUCCUUGUCCUAAUUGUAUAAAGAGGUGCUUGCCGCCACAUAUUUAGUUUUUUCUUUGUGUGCGGGCAGUGCACGUGUGUGUGUGUGUGUGUGUGUGAGAGAGACAGAGAGAGAGAGAGAGAGCAGUAUACACACGUCCUUGUCGAUCCCAGGAGAAUGGGAUACAGAUAGACGAGGCCAAAUCUGACGGUGUGACUAAUUCGCAGAACAGUUUUUUAAAGCAGAAAGUGGCAGGACGCUGUGUGAAUCACAGGCGUUCUCCCGUCCCCGCCGGGCUGCAGUGAACGUGAGUCUGGCGCUGGAAGCACCCGGCAGGCACGGGCUCACUCUUAUAUGGAGUGCCUUUCCGAGGUGUGGCACGUGGCACCAAGGCGAGGAUGAAGGUGAGGUAGGCUGCAGGAGAAAAAAAACUGACACGGGGAAGAAGGCUGCGUGAUACACAGUAAAAAGUCCCCGUGUUAAAUCGACUCUUGGAGAGUAUGGUGCCUAUUGGAGUCAUAUGUCCUCUGUUAGACCUGGAUUAACGCUGCAUAUUUUACAGUGUAAUGAGUUAAGCACAACUUUUUUAGCACAGCUUUUCAGUUUUAUCUGAAAUAGAUUUGUCCUUGAGUGUGAACUUUUGACUUGAAUAAAUGCAAACCUUUAUUUCUUCUUUCUUUCUUUGUUUUGGAGAUUUCUGAACACGCCCCACCGCCUUGGUGGGGGAAAAGUUUAUUAUUAUUGUGAGAGAGAUUUAAGGAUAAAAAUAUUGUUUGUAUCCAGGCUGCGGUCUUCUAGUCCCUGACUGGAAUCACUUCUUCUGUGGUGAAGAAGGCUACGUGUCACAUGACACCAUCAUUGCUCUUGGCAUCUAGGGAAAACAUUCUGACCUGGAUUCGAUCAACAUUUGUCUGUAGCGACUCUGACUUAUAAAAACUGUAAGUGUAACUUUGUCUUCAGAAGAAUCAAGUCCAUUUCAGUGGCCACAAUGUGUUUGCAAGGAGUGAAAUGAACAGUUGCAUUUAAAUGUGAGUGAAAGGUCGAAUGUAGAUUGAAUCCUGGCCUAAAUAAACUUGACUUGACUCGACAGUGGUCUUGGUAGGUAUAGCUGGAAUAGUAGGACUGGAGGGAGGAAGAAGAACAAGCAAUAUGACCGUGGUCAGGAUUCAAUCAAAAUGUGUACUUUUACUUCAACUGUAUAAUAAGAUGUAUUAAAAGUGUUUUGUUCUUUUGUCAGAAGGACAGUUGGGCAAAUUAAUUCUGUCAGUUCUUCUUUUUUUUUGUUGCAAACUCAAUUCAUGGGGGGAAAAAAACAAACAAACAAAUUACAUUCAAAUAUGAUCCAAAUGGAACAAAAAAUGUUGAUUGUUCACUGGCACAGAAAUUUUGGCUUCAUGUAUACACAUGCAGGCUAUGUAGAAGCAGAGGCUUCUGCAUUGUGCCUGGUACAGCGUAAGAUAUUUCUAAGAUUAUUUGAGUUCACCUGCUAGUACCUUUUUUCCAGAUUCAAUAUGCAGGAUAUAGGUGUCAAAUCUUCUAUGACACAUGAACUGAUUAAAGUGUAAAGUUUUGAGUAAUAAUUCAGUGCUGACAGGCUCUGGCGUGUUCUGUUCCCUUUGGGCAGUCUAUGUCUGGGACACAGAAUACUUACACGGAAGAAAGCAAGCCCAAAAAAUUCUCUGCUAACUUUGGCUGUAUUUAUUGUUAAGUGUUGAGGUGGCAUGCUUCUUUAUUUUGUAUUUCUCAGUAUACGAAGAUACGCUUGAGAAAAGUUGUGUUUGACACAAAAAAAAAAAAAAAAAAACUGUAAGCAAUUGCACUCAAUGGGCUAAUGAGAUCGUUAUCCCUAUUCAGUUGUUAGCCUUAGUUUGGACUUUAGCAUUUCACUGGAGAAAAAAAAAAAAGUUCUAAUGUCCAUCUGGAGAAUGGACAAUCUAACAUAAGGUUCGUAAUGCAAUUAAAAUAAAUUUAAUUGCCUCUGCUUUUCUCCCCAAUUAAUGGGGCUUAAUGACGGUUGAGGGUCAAUAACCACGGCUGACAUUUAAGACUCUGUGAGCCGAACGUUCUGUUGCCAUUUAAGAGCAGGGAAAUGUAAUAAAUAAAUACAAGCUGCACUAGGAGACCUCAUUAAGCCAUUCGUGAGACAGCAGUGCCUUUAAAACAGUGUUCAUACGCAUACAUAUUACUGUUUGAUGUCCCGUUUCAUGAAUAUUAGCAUUUUUAUUUUAGCGCGAAGGAAGUCGAGGCUGGUGGAGGGCUGGAGAUUCCAGCUGAGACGAUGGCUCAAUCAUCCCGGCCAAUCACUUCGCUCUCUCUGCUGUCAAACACAAUAGUGCAGUGAAUUAUGCCAUUUUUUCCUUUUCUCCCUCCCAACAUGCACAGUUUUCCAGGGGUCAAGAAGCCUACUUCCUGCUGGUACCUUCCAUAGGGAAGCUUUUAGGCUUGUUUGAAUGUGCUGCUCUGCAACAAAGAAAUGCUGAUUUCAACAGCGUUAUGUUCUGUUGCCUUUCCCUUUCCCUUCAACUCUUUGUUCCAGCAAAUACUCUCUGUCAUUGGAUGUGUGCGCGUGUCGGAACGAGCAUAUUUGUGUGUGUGCAUGUUUGCAUGUGUGCAUGGGAAACUGUACACAAUGUACCAAAGGCAGAGUUCUAAAAAUGAACCAACGUCGUGUUUUAGUCUGGCUUGCAUGUCAGUUGCCCAGGCCACAAAGGGCUGCUGGGUAAUUCCUCCUCAACCCUUACCUGCGCACCGCUGCCCGUCACCUCUGCUCUGUCACCGCUAGUAACGCAGGAACGGCCCGUGGCUCUGUAGGGUCUGCAGGCCUUGGCUGCGACUCAGCUCUUCAAGUCCACACGUUGCGCACGUCUUCCCCACCCUCCCGCUCAUGGGAAACGAGGAGGGGCUGAGAAUCUACGACUUUGCUAAAAGGCCCCGCGUCGAACAGAUGGCUUUGGGAAGAAAUACGGGCGAGCGAUUGGGCCACGAGCUUUAAAAUUGCGGAAACGCGCGUCGCGAGGUAUCAUUAGACGAGCGAAACGGAAAAGAACAUAUGGGGCCGGGAGGAUGAAACAAUAGCGCUAAGCCGAGAUGACUUUUUCGUCAUUUCACGCUAACGGAAACUCACACACUUUUCUUUGCUCAAACACAGCAUAACACCAUUUCCCAGACACCUGCAGAAAAUUCUAA
Long non-coding RNA from Anguilla rostrata (American eel), 4583 nucleotides. RefSeq lists it as uncharacterized. The transcript is spliced from 3 exons. The record is from RefSeq and is a predicted model, not a curated record. NCBI's taxonomy places the organism in Eukaryota, Metazoa, Chordata, Actinopteri, Anguilliformes, Anguillidae.